Long non-coding RNA from Silurus meridionalis, 1911 nucleotides. RefSeq lists it as uncharacterized. The record is from RefSeq and is a predicted model, not a curated record. The transcript is spliced from 6 exons. Lineage: Eukaryota; Metazoa; Chordata; Actinopteri; Siluriformes; Siluridae.
CUAUAUUAAUAUUAUUAUUAUUAUUAUUAUUAUGAUACUAUAGAUCGGUUUGAGUGGAGUGGCAUGCCCUUUAUGUUAUAAUAAAAGCUUGUUUUGCAAGGUUUGCUUCUUCAUUUGUUCAUAACAAAGGGCUUUGUAUCGUUUUUGCACUUGUGCAUCGUUUUGAAAUUGCACUAGGGCUGAAGCUAUCGAUUAAUUUUAGUAAUCGAGUAAUCGUUAAGUACUUUUUCUUUAUUAAAGAGCAAAAUUAAAUAUAGAGAAAAUAAGACGGGUCUCUUAAAAUGAACGUCAUUUGUUUCCUUUUAAGGAACAAAUUACAUUUUAUUGCUGAAAUUGCAUUUGUAUGUGUGAAAACGAAAACUAUUUAGUGCAUUUAUUUGCCAUUACAUCAAAAUGUAAUGUAAUCGAAUUUUCUUCCCUAAUUUAGACUGUAUUUCUCACAAUUCAGACUUUGUUUCUCGUAAGCAUAAAACAUUUCUGGUGCAUCCACCAAUAAUCAUGUUUAAACAAGUCCUUCACCUACUUCAUCUGUCUUCUUCCUUCUCCUCCGGAGCUGAUUGUGAGACAGGGUUUUCUCCAGGGAUCAGAGGCUCAGUUUAGGGGUGACGCUGCCCAAUUGGAUAAAAAAAAAAAAGGUUGGAAUUGUGAGAAAUAAAGUCGUAAUUGGCAAAAUCUUUGUCUUUAAUGUAGCGGAAAUGGGCUUCCAUAUGAAACUUUUCCUCGCUCGUCACUGUUUUCUCCUCGUUUAACAAUUUUUUUAAUUCUGCAGCAUCUUCUGUUUUUCCUGUUCGGACGGCUCCAGAGUUGUAGAAUAGCAGGAAAAGUCAGGGAUAAUGCUGUGAGGGGAAAAACAGUGCUCCGUUUGUAGUUCAAUGGACUGCCUCGGUUAAUUUGUUUGUACACUGUUACAAUAAAAUCUACUGUAACUAUAAAAUAUUAGACAUUAAAUUUCCCCAAAACCCACAAAAUGUCCUGGCAAGUCUCGGAACGCUUCCCCCAUGCUACACCCUGGACACUUGAUUUGAAACUUUGGAAGUGAGGAUGGAUGGAGAAGAAUGAUGUGUACAAUUUCAACCCUGUAAAAACUGAAUAAAUUAAUAACAUGUAUUUUUUUAAAUGUUCCAUAGUUUUCCAACAAAAUAUCGAGGACCAUCAACAUGCAAACGUUGACAAAUCACAAGGUCCGUAACCUCUAUCCUGAACGAGAACCCUGUGUUCAUCCUCGCAGGCGGGGGAUUCCUCUGUCCUUGGUGACAACAGCUACCUGUGUGAUCGGGGCAGUGUAACUUUUCCUGGUCCUCUCCAGAGGAAAACUCAGGAGUGUUUACAACAAGUGGAUGAACCUGGUCAAAAAGAAGCCUAUUUCUUCUGGCAAAUAAUGGAGCUCUUUUGCAAUAAAAAUGGAGUAAAUGUUCAUGAUGUGUCAUAAAUUAUUGGGAACAAAAGUAUCCAGUAUUUCUAUUAAAUUACAGUGUAUUUGAUGUUUGUUUUACAGAAUUUGAUGCUGGCUGAAGUUGCCCUACUCCUCUUCAAAGGCUAAAACUUUCUCAGGGACAGGCUUGCCGGGGUUAAGAACCAGGAUGGCCGGUGUCUUCCUCUGGCACAACUUUUAUGCGCCGCUGAACCACAGUACGAGCGCUUGGUUGAAAUGGGAAAAAAGCUUGACUCUGAAGGGCAGACCUAUGCAGCACAUCUCUGCUACUUGUUGGCGCUGAAGGAGCUGUCAUCCAGUCAGGGGUCAAGUUUUGAACUAAUUGGAUGUAAAAGAUGAGUUUGAUUCACGGUACAUUCCAGGAGAGCUGUUGGAUCUGAGCUGUUGGAUCCGUCCGUGCAGGAGUACACAAGGCAGAUGGUAAACAGGUAGCCAUUAAAUAUGUGGGCAAAGGUCAGAAUGAUAAAUUUAUCACCAUG